GGUUAAGUGACUAAGCGUACACGGUGGAUGCCUGGGCAGUCAGAGGCGAUGAAGGACGUACUAACUUGCGAUAAGCGCAGAUAAGGCAGUAAGAGCCGUUUGAGUCUGCGAUUUCCGAAUGGGGAAACCCAACUGCAUAAGCAGUUACUGUUAACUGAAUACAUAGGUUAACAGAGCAAACCGGGGGAACUGAAACAUCUAAGUACCCCGAGGAGAAGAAAUCAACCGAGAUUCCGGUAGUAGCGGCGAGCGAACCUGGAUUAGCCCUUAAGCACUCGGUGAAGUAGGUGAACAAGCUGGAAAGCUUGGCGAUACAGGGUGAUAGCCCCGUAACCGACGCUUCAUCGAGCGUGAAAUCGAGUAGGGCGGGACACGUGAUAUCCUGUCUGAAUAUGGGGGGACCAUCCUCCAAGGCUAAAUACUCCUGACUGACCGAUAGUGAACCAGUACCGUGAGGGAAAGGCGAAAAGAACCCCUGUGAGGGGAGUGAAAUAGAACCUGAAACCGUGUACGUACAAGCAGUAGGAGCACCUUCGUGGUGUGACUGCGUACCUUUUGUAUAAUGGGUCAGCGACUUAUAUUCAGUGGCAAGGUUAACCGUAUAGGGGAGCCGUAGCGAAAGCGAGUCUUAACUGGGCGCUCAGUCUCUGGAUAUAGACCCGAAACCGGGUGAUCUAGCCAUGGGCAGGUUGAAGGUUGAGUAACAUCAACUGGAGGACCGAACCGACUAAUGUUGAAAAAUUAGCGGAUGACUUGUGGCUAGGGGUGAAAGGCCAAUCAAACUCGGAGAUAGCUGGUUCUCCCCGAAAGCUAUUUAGGUAGCGCCUCGGACGAAUACUACUGGGGGUAGAGCACUGUUAAGGCUAGGGGGUCAUCCCGACUUACCAACCCUUUGCAAACUCCGAAUACCAGUAAGUACUAUCCGGGAGACACACGGCGGGUGCUAACGUCCGUCGUGGAGAGGGAAACAACCCAGACCGCCAGCUAAGGUCCCAAAGUAUUGCUAAGUGGGAAACGAUGUGGGAAGGCUCAGACAGCUAGGAUGUUGGCUUAGAAGCAGCCAUCAUUUAAAGAAAGCGUAAUAGCUCACUAGUCGAGUCGGCCUGCGCGGAAGAUGUAACGGGGCUAAGCAAUACACCGAAGCUGCGGCAAUAUCUUUUAGAUAUUGGGUAGGGGAGCGUUCUGUAAGCCGUUGAAGGUGGAUCGUAAGGUUUGCUGGAGGUAUCAGAAGUGCGAAUGCUGACAUGAGUAACGACAAAGGGGGUGAAAAACCUCCUCGCCGGAAGACCAAGGGUUCCUGUCCAACGUUAAUCGGGGCAGGGUGAGUCGACCCCUAAGGUGAGGCCGAAAGGCGUAAUCGAUGGGAAACGGGUUAAUAUUCCCGUACUUCUGACUAUUGCGAUGGGGGGACGGAGAAGGCUAGGUGGGCCAGGCGACGGUUGUCCUGGUUCAAGUGCGUAGGCUUGAGAGUUAGGUAAAUCCGGCUCUCUCUAAGGCUGAGACA
RNAcentral lists this ribosomal RNA (1504 nucleotides) under Vibrio cholerae. RNAcentral's name for it is "partial 23S ribosomal RNA". It matches the Rfam family "Bacterial large subunit ribosomal RNA", at positions 1 to 1563 of the family's 2925-position model. The record is from RNAcentral. Lineage: Bacteria; Pseudomonadati; Pseudomonadota; Gammaproteobacteria; Vibrionales; Vibrionaceae.